Molecule: RNA transcript, 1010 nt
Organism: Zingiber officinale
Lineage: Eukaryota; Viridiplantae; Streptophyta; Magnoliopsida; Zingiberales; Zingiberaceae
Gene name: tetraspanin-19-like
Exons: 3
Source: RefSeq, a predicted model, not a curated record
GUGGAACUCUCUCAUCCAUAUUUUGCCACCUCGACUAGCCUAAGUCAAGCACUCACAGCAUGGCGUACUGCAAGAUAUGCUUGCUAAACAAUGCAAUGAGGGUCGUGAAUCUUGUGGUGAACUUUUGCGGCCUGGCCAUCAUCAUCUACUCACUCUGCCUGCUCAAGGCAUGGAAGCAAGCAGUUGCUGAAUUUGAUGCCGCUGCAUCUACGCUGCCAGCACCAUGCUUCCUCGCAGGUUUAUUCACACGUUGCUGGGUGUCGGUAUCGUUGUUUGCUUCAGUGCCAUCGUCGGCCAUGCUGUAUCCAACUCACUCGAGCCAAUUUACCUUUCCCUCGUAUCCUUUAUUCCUCUUUGUCUCUUAAUUUUGGCUACUCCCAUAGAUUUAUACUCUCUUUAACAGUUAACGAUAUGUUUAUGAUAUGAAACUACGUGGGUAACAUCUACUUGACCAUGCAUCUUUAGUAUAUAGUCUUCAUUUUCUUCAUCCUUUUCUGUGAGAUUGUGGUGAUUGUGGCUAUUCUUUUUGAGAUAGACUGGCCAAGGGUAAGGUUCAUGAGUCUCGAAUAUAUGUGUGUGUGUCCUGACUUUGGAUUGAGUUUAAUUUUUCACUAGUCAAUUGCUUCAAAACAGGUGAUCGCUGAACAUUUUGAGGGGAACAUCAAAUUUGUGGACACCUUCUCGUUCCAUGCAUAUAUUUGCCGCCUGUUAGGAGUCAUUGUUCUUCUAGCACAGGUAAAUGUGUUGGUGCUGGCAGUAGUUUUAAGGACGAUGGGACCUCGCGCAAGGAAUCAUUGCCAAAGAGCAGUUAUGCAUGAAUUCGGAUACUCAUUUCUUGUAACGAAUGGAUCCGAAUCACCAGCAACUCUUUCUACAAUUGUGUAGAAGCAUAGUCCUCUUGAGAUGGUCUAGUGGUUAGUACUUAAAGUGUUAUCAUGUUUGGGAUUUGAAUCUCGGCAUAGUCGAGAUAAAUGUCUCUCUUAAGUGCUAGUCACUAUUCCAAAAACUAA